This 550-nucleotide non-coding RNA is filed under the name Cellulomonas carbonis T26. RNAcentral describes it as "Cellulomonas sp. T26 Bacterial small subunit ribosomal RNA". It matches the Rfam family "Bacterial small subunit ribosomal RNA", at positions 336 to 896 of the family's 1533-position model. The record is from Rfam by way of RNAcentral. Lineage: Bacteria; Bacillati; Actinomycetota; Actinomycetes; Micrococcales; Cellulomonadaceae.
CUCCUACGGGAGGCAGCAGUGGGGAAUAUUGCACAAUGGGCGAAAGCCUGAUGCAGCGACGCCGCGUGGGGGAUGAAGGCCUUCGGGUUGUAAACCCCUUUCAGCAGGGAAGAAGCGAAAGUGACGGUACCUGCAGAAGAAGCGCCGGCUAACUACGUGCCAGCAGCCGCGGUAAUACGUAGGGCGCAAGCGUUGUCCGGAAUUAUUGGGCGUAAAGAGCUCGUAGGCGGUUUGUCGCGUCUGCUGUGAAAACCCGAGGCUCAACCUCGGGCCUGCAGUGGGUACGGGCAGACUAGAGUGCGGUAGGGGAGACUGGAAUUCCUGGUGUAGCGGUGGAAUGCGCAGAUAUCAGGAGGAACACCGAUGGCGAAGGCAGGUCUCUGGGCCGCAACUGACGCUGAGGAGCGAAAGCAUGGGGAGCGAACAGGAUUAGAUACCCUGGUAGUCCAUGCCGUAAACGUUGGGCACUAGGUGUGGGGCUCAUUCCACGAGUUCCGUGCCGCAGCAAACGCAUUAAGUGCCCCGCCUGGGGAGUACGGCCGCAAGGCUA